RNAcentral lists this ribosomal RNA (253 nucleotides) under uncultured bacterium. RNAcentral's name for it is "partial 16S ribosomal RNA". It matches the Rfam family "Bacterial small subunit ribosomal RNA", at positions 524 to 776 of the family's 1533-position model. The record is from RNAcentral.
UACGUAGGGUGCAAGCGUUAGUCGGAAUUACUGGGCGUAAAGCGUGCGCAGGCGGUUGUGCAAGACCGAUGUGAAAUCCCCGGGCUUAACCUGGGAAUGGCAUUGGUGACUGCACGGCUAGAGUGUGUCAGAGGGGGGUAGAAUUCCACGUGUAGCAGUGAAAUGCGUAGAGAUGUGGAGGAACACCGAUGGCGAAGGCAAUCCCCUGGGCCUGCACUGACGCUCAUGCACGAAAGCGUGGGGAGCAAACAGG